Molecule: long non-coding RNA, 1619 nt
Filed under: Numida meleagris (helmeted guineafowl)
Lineage: Eukaryota; Metazoa; Chordata; Aves; Galliformes; Numididae
Description: lncRNA (ENSNMEG00000003075.1)
Source: RNAcentral
AGUACCUCCCAGUAUCCCCCAGUGCCUCCCAGUAUCUCCCAGUGUCACGCAAUGCCUCCCAGUUCCCUCCCAGUCUCCCCCAUGCCAUCCUCUGCCCUCCCAGUACCUCCCAGUCCCCUCCCAGUACCUCCCAGUCCCCUCCCAGUACCUCCCAGUAUCCCCCGGUACCUCCCAGUACCUCCCAGUACACCCCAGUGCUUCCCAGUGCGUCCAUUCCCAUCCCCAUGAAGUCUUCUGGCCCUCCCAGCAUCACCUCCCAGUACCUCCCAGUACCUCCCAGUAUCACCCCCCAGUACCUCCCAGUGUUCUCCCAGUCUCCCCCCAUCACAUCCUGAUCCCUCCCAGUAUCCCCCAGUACCUCCCAUUCCUAUCCCAGUCUACCUUGUAACAUCUUCAGCCCUCCCAGUACCUCCCAGUACCUCCCAGUGUUCUCCCAGUCUCCCCCCAUGACAUCCUGAUCCCUCCCAGUAUCCCCCAGUACCUCCCAGUACCUCCCAGUACCUCCCAUUCCCAUCCCACUCUACCUCGUAACAUCCUCAGCCCUCCCAGUAUCUCCCAGUACGUCCCAGUAUCCCCAAUCCCACCCCCACGAAGUCCUCAGGCCCUCCCAGUAUCACCCCCCAGUACCUCCCAGUACCUCCCAGUACCUCCCAGUGCCCCCCACCGACCCCAAUCCCAUCCCCACGCAGCCCCCCAGCCCUCCCCCAGCCCCCAGUAUCCUCCAGUCCAUCCCAGUCCUCCCAUCCCUGACCCCAGGGCUUGGGGGGGGGCGGGGGGGGGGGCACGGCCCUCCCAGUGCCCCCCCAGUCUGACCAGUGCUCCCAGUUCCCCCCGAGCCGCCCACCAUCGAGGGACUGGAGUCGCCGCAGGUGCGGGUGGGGGACACGCUGCGACUGGUGUGCGUGGCCCGGGGGGGCAACCCGCCGCCCAGUCUGCACUGGGAGAAGGACGGGGUCCCGCUGGCGGUGCCGUGGCAGGGUGACACUCUGGGUGCCGGUGACACAGUGGGUGCCGUUGUCACGCCGGGUGCCGGUGACACUGUGGGCGCGGCGCUGUCCCGCAGCCGGGUGACGCUGCCGGUGACACGCGGGGACGACGGCGUCACCCUGCGCUGCUACAGCCGCAGCGAGGCCGGGGGAGGGGGCAGCGCCAGCGUCACCCUCAGGGUCACGUGUGAGUGCGGCACCGGGACCCACUGGGAGGGACUGGGACGGACUGGGAGGGACUGGGAAGACUGGGAUGGACUGGGAGGACUGGGAGGGAAUGGGAGGACUGGGAGGGAAUGGGAGCACUGGGAUGGACUGGGAUGGACUGGGAGACCGGAGUGGGAUGGACUGGGAUGGACUGGGACGGACUGGGAGCACUGGGAGGGACUGGGAGGACUGGGAUGGACUGGGAGCACUGGGACAGACAGGGAGCACUGGGAUGGACUGGGAGAUCACACUGGGCUGUACUGGGAGCACUGGGAUGGACUGGGCUGGACUGGGAGACCACACUGGGCUGGACUGGGAGCACUGGGAGGGACUGGGAGACCGGACUGGGAUGGACUGGGAGCACUGGGCUGUACUGGGAGACCACACUGGGAUGGACUGGAAGCACUGGGAGACCAUGCGGGGCAU